AGAACGAACGCUGGCGGCAGGCUUAACACAUGCAAGUCGAGCGCCUCGCAAGAGGAGCGGCAGACGGGUGAGUAACACGUGGGAACAUACCCUCCGGUUCGGAAUAACUCAGGGAAACUUGAGCUAAUACCGGAUACGGUCGAGAGGCGAAAGAUUUAUCGCCGGAGGAUUGGCCCGCGUCCGAUUAGCUAGUUGGUGUGGUAAUGGCGCACCAAGGCGACGAUCGGUAGCUGGUCUGAGAGGAUGAUCAGCCACAUUGGGACUGAGACACGGCCCAAACUCCUACGGGAGGCAGCAGUGGGGAAUAUUGGACAAUGGGCGCAAGCCUGAUCCAGCCAUGCCGCGUGAGUGAUGAAGGCCUUAGGGUUGUAAAGCUCUUUCGCUAGGGACGAUAAUGACGGUACCUAGACAAGAAGCCCCGGCUAACUUCGUGCCAGCAGCCGC
RNAcentral lists this ribosomal RNA (444 nucleotides) under uncultured bacterium. RNAcentral's name for it is "SSU rRNA". It matches the Rfam family "Bacterial small subunit ribosomal RNA", at positions 26 to 518 of the family's 1533-position model. The record is from RNAcentral.